This is a long non-coding RNA of Alligator mississippiensis (American alligator), 259 nucleotides long. RefSeq lists it as uncharacterized. The record is from RefSeq and is a predicted model, not a curated record. NCBI's taxonomy places the organism in Eukaryota, Metazoa, Chordata, Crocodylia, Alligatoridae. The transcript has 3 exons.
CAACAUCACCUGGCUCUGAGGCUUCAUGGAACACUCUGGAGAUCUGCCCAUGGCUAGGGUCCUGUUUGGUGAGCCCCUGGUGCAACAGAGAGCAGGCCCAGGGUGAUGCUGCCUUAAUGGAGUUUUAGAGUGAAUAUGAAACCAAGUUACCAAGUGCAUUCAACCUAAGAAAAGGGGUUUUCUAAUGUGAAAUGUAUGACGGCAGCUGCCUAUCUAUCACACCCGGGAGGAAGACUAAUGAUAGGGACCCAGUGUGCUU